RNAcentral lists this ribosomal RNA (320 nucleotides) under uncultured Acetivibrio sp. RNAcentral's name for it is "bacterial SSU rRNA". It matches the Rfam family "Bacterial small subunit ribosomal RNA", at positions 355 to 691 of the family's 1533-position model. Lineage: Bacteria; Bacillati; Bacillota; Clostridia; Acetivibrionales; Acetivibrionaceae. The record is from RNAcentral.
UCGGGAAUAUUGCGCAAUGGAGGAAACUCUGACGCAGUGACGCCGCGUGCAGGAAGAAGGUUUUCGGAUUGUAAACUGCUUUAGACAGGGAAGAAACAAGACAGUACCUGUAGAAUAAGCUCCGGCUAACUACGUGCCAGCAGCCGCGGUAAUACGUAGGGAGCAAGCGUUAUCCGGAUUUAUUGGGUGUAAAGGGUGCGUAGACGGGAAGGCAAGUUGGUUGUGAAAUCCCUCGGCUUAACUGAGGAACUGCAACCAAAACUAUCUUUCUUGAGUGCUGGAGAGGAAAGUGGAAUUCCUAGUGUAGCGGUGAAAUGCGU